RNAcentral lists this non-coding RNA (29 nucleotides) under Mus musculus (house mouse). Lineage: Eukaryota; Metazoa; Chordata; Mammalia; Rodentia; Muridae. The record is from RNAcentral.
UAAAAUCCUGCUGCUUCUACAAUCUCUUC